Anthonomus grandis grandis is the source of this 795-nucleotide long non-coding RNA. RefSeq lists it as uncharacterized. The transcript is spliced from 2 exons. Lineage: Eukaryota; Metazoa; Arthropoda; Insecta; Coleoptera; Curculionidae. The record is from RefSeq and is a predicted model, not a curated record.
ACCCGCGUAUAUAUUCGAAUAUUUUUAAUAAAAUAAUAGGACAAAUUUCAUUUCGAUUCACCCCGGUAUAAACACAUUUCAAAAAAACGGCAUUUUUCGAAGACGUCAAAAUGAUUAUUUUAUUUAAUGGUCUCUUAGAAAUAAUACAAUACAAACAGUAACAGUAAGUAGUUGAACGAUACAAACAGCGUUCCUAACAAACAUUGUUUGAAUUUUAUUUUGGCUCAUUGCAAUGCAAGCGAUGGAUCUUGACGCAAUGGCCGAAAGCCUACAGGCGAUCAUUGAGACUGUACCGGUAAGAAUUUAUUUAGAUUAUAUUUUGAAUUAGUUGUUCGUUAUAUUUUAUCGAAUAGUCGGCACCUCAACCCAACCCAAGCCAACCCAACUCAAGUCAACCCAACCAAAUCCUCCCAACCCAAUCCACCGAAUCCUCCCAACCCACCGAUAAUAGUAAGUAUAAAAUUCACUGAGAUAUUGCCAUUUUUAUUUUUUUUCUAAUUGCGGAAAACAUUAAAAUUCUUUAUUUCGUUACAGAAGAAAAUUCAAAUAAUAGAGGAAGGAACUGGAGAGCGAGGAGUGGCAGGGUACAUAGGCGUAGAGAGCGCGUCAAUCUCCACCAACAGAAAACGCUAUUGUCGGCCGUGACCGACGCAAUGGCUAGUGCUAUUCUUAAGCACACCAGUAAGGGAGGCUACAGGGGCCAUUUCCGUGGCAGGGGAAAAAAUUAAUUUUUUUAAUUUUUAUUUUUUUGAAUUAUAUUUUUUUUUAUAAAUAUAUUAUAAACAUUUUAUGUAA